RNAcentral lists this ribosomal RNA (255 nucleotides) under uncultured bacterium. Its description in RNAcentral is "partial 16S ribosomal RNA". It matches the Rfam family "Bacterial small subunit ribosomal RNA", at positions 524 to 776 of the family's 1533-position model. The record is from RNAcentral.
UACGAAGGGGGGCUAGCGUUGCUCGGAAUGACUGGGCGUAAAGGGCGCGUAGGCGGAUGGUACAGUCAGAUGUGAAAUUCCUGGGCUUAACCUGGGGGCUGCAUUUGAUACGUAUUGUCUAGAGUGAGGAAGAGGGUCGUGGAAUUCCCAGUGUAGAGGUGAAAUUCGUAGAUAUUGGGAAGAACACCAGUGGCGAAGGCGGCUCACUGGACCGGCAUUGACGCUGAGGUGCGAAAGCGUGGGGGAGCAAACAGG